This 405-nucleotide ribosomal RNA is filed under the name uncultured bacterium. RNAcentral's name for it is "partial 16S ribosomal RNA". It matches the Rfam family "Bacterial small subunit ribosomal RNA", at positions 355 to 774 of the family's 1533-position model. The record is from RNAcentral.
UAGGGAAUAUUGGGCAAUGGAGGCAACUCUGACCCAGCAACGCCGCGUGAAUGAAGAAGGUUUUCGGAUUGUAAAGUUCUUUUCUCUGGGACGAAAAAAAUGACGGUACCAGAGGAAUAAGCCCCGGCAAACUACGUGCCAGCAGCCGCGGUAAUACGUAGGGGGCAAGCGUUGUCCGGAAUGACUGGGCGUAAAGGGUGUGUAGGCGGUUGGUCGCGUCGUAUGUGAAAGCCCCAGGCUUAACCUGGGAACUGCAUACGAUACGGGCCGACUGGAGUGCAGGAGAGGUCGGUGGAAUUCCAAGUGUAGCGGUAGAAUGCGUAGAUAUUUGGAGGAACAUCAGAGGCGAAGGCGGCCGACUGGACUGUAACUGACGCUGAAACACGAAAGCGUGGGUAGCAAACA